RNAcentral lists this ribosomal RNA (374 nucleotides) under uncultured bacterium. Its description in RNAcentral is "bacterial SSU rRNA". It matches the Rfam family "Bacterial small subunit ribosomal RNA", at positions 30 to 404 of the family's 1533-position model. The record is from RNAcentral.
AUUGAACGCUGGCGGCAUGCCUUACACAUGCAAGUCGAACGGCAGCACGGGAGCAAUCCUGGUGGCGAGUGGCGAACGGGUGAGUAAUAUAUCGGAACGUGCCCAGUCGUGGGGGAUAACGUAGCGAAAGCUACGCUAAUACCGCAUACGACCUAUGGAUGAAAGCGGGGGAUCGCAAGACCUCGCGCGAUUGGAGCGGCCGAUAUCAGAUUAGGUAGUUGGUGAGGUAAAGGCUCACCAAGCCGACGAUCUGUAGCUGGUCUGAGAGGACGACCAGCCACACUGGGACUGAGACACGGCCCAGACUCCUACGGGAGGCAGCAGUGGGGAAUUUUGGACAAUGGGCGCAAGCCUGAUCCAGCAAUGCCGCGUGC